UGUGGCUGGGGGUGAAAGGCCAAUCAAACCGGGAGAUAGCUGGUUCUCCCCGAAAGCUAUUUAGGUAGCGCCUCGUGAAUUCAUCUCCGGGGGUAGAGCACUGUUUCGGCUAGGGGGCCAUCCCGGCUUACCAACCCGAUGCAAACUGCGAAUACCGGAGAAUGUUAUCACGGGAGACACACGGCGGGUGCUAACGUCCGUCGUGAAGAGGGAAACAACCCAGACCGCCAGCUAAGGUCCCAAAGUCAUGGUUAAGUGGGAAACGAUGUGGGAAGGCCCAGACAGCCAGGAUGUUGGCUUAGAAGCAGCCAUCAUUUAAAGAAAGCGUAAUAGCUCACUGGUCGAGUCGGCCUGCGCGGAAGAUGUAACGGGGCUAAACCAU
Molecule: ribosomal RNA, 382 nt
Filed under: Salmonella enterica
Lineage: Bacteria; Pseudomonadati; Pseudomonadota; Gammaproteobacteria; Enterobacterales; Enterobacteriaceae
Also listed under: 6 other names
Description: partial 23S ribosomal RNA
Rfam family: Bacterial large subunit ribosomal RNA
Source: RNAcentral